Mustela lutreola (European mink) is the source of this 1213-nucleotide long non-coding RNA. RefSeq lists it as uncharacterized. Lineage: Eukaryota; Metazoa; Chordata; Mammalia; Carnivora; Mustelidae. The record is from RefSeq and is a predicted model, not a curated record. The transcript has 2 exons.
GUUCUCAACUGACAUGUUAACGGCUUUCUCUGAACGGUGGUACUUCCAUUACUAACGCUCAUUGACUCUUUAUUAUCUGGUCCAUGCCAUGCAAAGGCAUAUGUGAUUUCCUUGCAUUCUACGAUAGUCAAUAGUUCUACAGAACGGUAGCCCCUGUUCCCCUUAAUAGCCAAAGAGGCCACAGAGACUCAUGGGCCCAAGGUCUGGGAUCUUGCCUGAGGUUUACAGACCGUAAAGCAGGACUCGAACGCUCGGGCCAGCACCCAAGCCCCUGCUUUUCCACUUUCCAUUUUCCCCACGCUGUCCCUCACCCCUGCUGGCCUCGGCCACCUGCAGCAGCACAAGAAAGAGGGACCUCCAAGGAGGGGGAGGGGCCUGAGGAGGCAGCACGGCCACUCCCCUGCGGUGGGCAGCCUGCAUUAUUGUUGUCACUCCUUCCUCUAUCAAAUGGGCUUGAAUUCAGCAUGAAAAGCGCAGUGGGGCAGCAGCCCCAUUCCAGAGGUCAGCACUUAAUACUGAAAACACCCACCCAUACUCAGGCCUUCUGGUCCCUCGGUCUCCAGACCCUCCCCCCUCCCUGGACACCUUCCCAGUGUGGAUGCACACAACUUCCCUCUCUUCCUCCUCUUCUGAUUGGCUUCAAGGCUAGGAUUUCCCUGCCCUAGAAUGAUCCUGCUACAGCUACUGCCCCAUACCUAGACCGUCUCUGGCAUCAUAUAUGCACUCUUCAAAUAUUUACUGAAGUGCGUGCUAACUUCCAGAAGAAAUAAGACCAAAACGGGAAUCCAGAAGAAAAUGGAAAAGCCCGGAGGGCGGGGGAGGGGCUGCAGGCGCCCAGUCUCCUCUCUCCCCGCCUCCCCCUGCCCCAGGACCCCUGCAGCCGGGCGGAUUCAGAGUUCAGGUUGCCUUUUGAUGACGGUAACAUCCGAACCGGCAGAAAAGCUCCAGUGGAAGCCAGAGCAGAAGUGACCACGCAGGGAGAGCGGCCCAGCCUGUUGUGCACAGUACAGAAUGUUCUCUUCUGUGAACUGAGCUUGAACUUCUCCAACCCACUUUGUCUGAGGAAUCACGCAGACGCAGAGGGCAAAAGGCCGGGAAGAUAACCCCCAAAUUGUUGAAAUCAUUGUGUUCUCUCUGGUUUUGGCCCAGAUCGGUUGCUUUUCACGACGCAUAAUGAAAAAUCCCAAGCAUUAGAGUUCUUGGAAGAACUGAA